Pyrus x bretschneideri (Chinese white pear) is the source of this 1042-nucleotide RNA transcript. RefSeq lists it as uncharacterized. Lineage: Eukaryota; Viridiplantae; Streptophyta; Magnoliopsida; Rosales; Rosaceae. The record is from RefSeq and is a predicted model, not a curated record. The transcript has 3 exons.
UGAAAAAAAAUAAUGCUUUCCCAAGAACCAUCACCAUUGCUAAGUUUCUCUUGAGUUCAACGGGGUAACGAAACUAACAAAACUUCUACUCUUGGUUACUCCUACACUUCCGUGAAGAAACACCCCUCCGCGUUCUAUAUAAACAUGUAACAGAAGCACUUCAAAGACACACAUAUGUAGAAAAAGGAAGCACACUUUUUCAAAAAACUUAAUUGGCACAUACAUACUUACACUUGGGUUUCCACUAAAGCUUAGGAGAGGAGAGGUGGGAAGGAUGAUUCUUGGGAUAGCGGCAAUGAUGCUUCAAUGCGUGAUUGAAGUAAGUUUAUCAAUUCAGGACGUGGAGAUUGAGAACAGGCCAUACCACCGCAAUUGUAGCUGCGCACUGCACAACUUGAAGGGUAUUUGCUCUUGCCCUCCAAAAACGAAUAUUUCGUUCCCCAAGAAACAGCCUUGUUGUUCUCGGUGGCUCAUCAGUACGGAACAAAGAAGACCCGAAUGUGCUGUAACAUGUCGCGGACAAGAUUUAGAGAGCUUGUCACAGCAGAGCAACAAGGAAAAGCGCUAAGUAAGCUGCGACAGUUGAGCAACUAACGACGGGUAGGCUGGGGCGACAGACUGGAGUUGCAAAACGUCAUCUGCAAGCUAAAAGCUCACCUGACAAAGGCAACCUUCUGGCUUUUUUGGUUUCGUCAUUGGAAGAAUUUUUUUCGUUUCAUUGGGUCAGAGUACGAGAGUUCAAUUGGUAAGGGAAGAGAACCGUCCCAAUGGUGGAAGCAGAACUCCUCCUACUUUGUCAUGCCAGCAGACCUAACAAGCCUUGACUCAAAACCCUAGCAAGCCUUUGCUUUGACUACAUAAAAAGGAGUUCGGGGAGAAAGCUUCAAUCAAUAGGAUAUUUCUAAUUCUCUAUUCCCGAAUGUAAGAACGUGAAAUUUUAUGGGUUAAAAAAUUGAAGUAAGGAGUUGUUGAAAAUCUAAAAACGGAAAGGAAUUUUGACUCUGUUGGAUUAAGAAAAUAAUUUACUCCAUCCUUCAAAUAC